AGGAUAAUAGUUAAUUAUAACAUUUAACUCGCACUUAAAAAGUAUUGAUCUAUCAAUUUAUCUUA
This 65-nucleotide transfer RNA is filed under the name Disteniazteca fimbriata. RNAcentral describes it as "tRNA-Ala". The record is from RNAcentral. Lineage: Eukaryota; Metazoa; Arthropoda; Insecta; Coleoptera; Cerambycidae.